CAGAAUUGGCGGUGGUGUGGAAGGCAGUCUCUUAGGAUCGAGAAAGACAUGUUUCCACUUCUGAGGCAUCCGAGCUUCAUCAGGACAGGAAACUCUGGCAAGCCAUCAUCCGAGAAGGAACAGCAACUUUCGAAGCCAACCGAUGUGCAGAAUUAGAAGAAAAGAGAAGAAAAUGGAAAGAAAGGCAACAACAACCAAAGCCCGAUCUGCCAUCUGGAACUACCUGUCCUGAAUGCGGAAGAACUUUCAAAGCCAAGAUUGGACUCAUAAGCCACUUGAGAGCCCAUAAGUAGUUCAACAGAACGAAGACCAUCAUCCUCGACCUCGAGGGAUAGCCACGACGAUG
Long non-coding RNA from Mobula hypostoma (lesser devil ray), 346 nucleotides. RefSeq lists it as uncharacterized. The record is from RefSeq and is a predicted model, not a curated record. NCBI's taxonomy places the organism in Eukaryota, Metazoa, Chordata, Chondrichthyes, Myliobatiformes, Myliobatidae. The transcript is spliced from 3 exons.